RNAcentral lists this ribosomal RNA (261 nucleotides) under uncultured bacterium. Its description in RNAcentral is "partial 16S ribosomal RNA". It matches the Rfam family "Bacterial small subunit ribosomal RNA", at positions 793 to 1055 of the family's 1533-position model. The record is from RNAcentral.
GUCCACGCCGUAAACGAUGUCUGCUAGCCGUCGGGGUCCUUGAGGCCUCGGUGGCGCAGCUAACGCGAUAAGCAGACCGCCUGGGGAGUACGGCCGCAAGGUUAAAACUCAAAUGAAUUGACGGGGCCGCACAAGCGGUGGAGCAUGUGGUUUAAUUCGAUGCAACGUGAAGAACCUUACCAGGUCUUGACAUCCAGCGAACUGCCGAGAGAUCGGCGGGUGCCUUCGGGAGCGCUGAGACAGGUGCUGCAUGGCUGUCGU